This 253-nucleotide ribosomal RNA is filed under the name uncultured bacterium. RNAcentral describes it as "partial 16S ribosomal RNA". It matches the Rfam family "Bacterial small subunit ribosomal RNA", at positions 524 to 776 of the family's 1533-position model. The record is from RNAcentral.
UACAGAGGUCUCAAGCGUUGUUCGGAUUCAUUGGGCGUAAAGGGUGUGUAGGUGGCGCCGUAAGUCGGGUGUGAAAUUUCGGAGCUUAACUCCAGAACUGCCUUUGAUACUGAGAAGCUUGAGUUCGGGAGAGGUGAGUGGAACUGCGAGUGUAGAGGUGAAAUUCGUAGAUAUUCGCAAGAACACCAGUGGCGAAGGCGGCUCACUGGCCCGAUACUGACGCUGAGGUGCGAAAGCGUGGGGAGCAAACAGG